AUCUAUGGCCAUGCCACCCUGAACAAACCCGAUCCCAUCUGAUCUCAGAAACUAAGCAGGGUGGGGCCUGGUUAGUAUUUGGAUGGGAGACCACCUAGGAAGACCAGGUGCUAUAGGCA
This 119-nucleotide ribosomal RNA is filed under the name Pteropus vampyrus (large flying fox). Lineage: Eukaryota; Metazoa; Chordata; Mammalia; Chiroptera; Pteropodidae. The record is from RNAcentral.